Molecule: ribosomal RNA, 443 nt
Filed under: uncultured bacterium
Lineage: Bacteria
Description: partial 16S ribosomal RNA
Rfam family: Bacterial small subunit ribosomal RNA
Source: RNAcentral
CCUACGGGUGGCAGCAGUGGGGAAUAUUGGUCAAUGGGCGCACGCCUGACCCAGCAACGCCGCGUGACGGAAGAAGGCUUUCGGGUUGUAAACUUCUUUUAUCAGGGACGCAGCAAGUGACGGUACCUGAUGGAUAAGCCACGGCUAACUACAUGCCAGCAGCCGCGGUAAUACGUCGGUGGCAAGCGUCAUCCGGAUUUACUGGGUGUAAAGGGCGUGUGGGCGGGAGUGCAAGUCAGAUAUGAAAACGAUGGGCUCAACCCAUAGCCUGCAUUUGAAACUGUACUUCUUGAGUGCGGGAGAGGCAAUCGGAAUUCCGGGUGUAGCGGUGAAAUGCGUAGAUAUACGGAGGAACACCAGUGGCGAAGGCGGAUUGCUGGACAGUAACUGACGCUGAGGCGCGAAAGCGUGGGGAGCAAACAGGAUUAGAUACCCCUGUAGUC